GAGCUCUGCUCAGGUAAUGCAGGUGCAUUAAUGCAUGGAGGAGACACUGAAGCUAAACUUUCAUUCAGAUCAGUCAGGAGGAGAAAAAUGAAAGAAAACAGGACGCCAAGAUGAAGAUAGACCUCAAAAACAUCCUGGACGAUCUGAGAGAUGAAGACUUUGAGAACUUCAAGUGGUUCCUGAAAUGCGAAACAGUGAACAAUAUUCCACCCAUUAAAGAGAGGCAGCUGUUGAAAGCAGAGAGGCGGACACCGUGGCAUCUGAUGGUGCAGAAAUAUGGAUUAGUUGGAGCUGUGGCAGUGAUGGAGAGAGUUUUAAGAAAUAUCAACAGGAACGAUCUGGUGGAGCAGUUACCAGCCAUCAACUCAGGAACAGAAGGUCCUGACCCUGGUCCUGGUCAAUCACAGAGCUAGAGUCUGUCCUACACACGCUGCUGGAUAAGCGUGGGGUGAUAACUGAUGUUGAAGUGGAUUUAGCUGGAACAACAAGCAGGGCGGACAAAGCUCGAGUGGUGAUCAACUCGAUGCAAAGAAAAGGAUCACAGGCCAGUUCAAGUCUGAUGGCUCCUCUCUGUGAGGAGGACUGAUGCCCUUCAAUGGAGCUGAAGUUAAUGUGAAGUAGGAACAGUGUAUCAGGCUGUUUCUGUCUGACACCAUCACAUCUGUAGUUCUCCUUUGUUUAAGAACAUUUGUUAAAAACCUCAAAACUCUCUUAACAUGAAUCAGCAUUGCCUGUACUGUGCUGGUUCACAUUCAUUCAGUUUAAUGUAUGUUUCCACAGCACUAAUUACAUCAGUGCAACAACAGUCAUGUCAGAGAAGAGGUUUAAUUUGGAGGUGUCCCUGUGUUCUCUGUGCUGGAAAUGAAAAUCUGUUAUGUUUGUUACUGGAGCAUUAGUUAAAUUUUUUUUCCUUCGAUCAUCUGUGUUGUAGCUCUGUUUCUGCUCCUGUUUUCAGUUAAACACAAACACACAGAAUAUUAGAUUACAAUCCCUACAGGUUUUAAUCCGGUCAGCAACAGAUAAUCUCAAAAUACAUAUAAUACACAUUCAGUACAGCAGCUUCUGUCUGCAUCCUCCAUCUCUGUCCAAAACAAAAUCAUAGACUGGCAUCAUUCAGCUGCUCAGGAGAAAACCUAAACGCCUUCAUUCAUACUGAUCUGAGGACAGUCUGAGUCAGCAGCUAAAGUCAGUUCUGCUGAGCACUGCAUCCACUUCACAGCAAAGUCAGGAAACAAAGUAUUUUUCACAUUUAAACCUGAUUUUAUUCAAACAUGUCUGCAUCACUGUGUGAAAGGUUUAAUAACAGCAGCAGAGUAAAUCAGAGAAAUAUUCAGACCAUCUGUUCCUGCCGAAUCUGAUCAACUCAGAUGACUCAAUACUGUUGACUUCAGUUCACUGAUUAUCACUGAACGAACCCCACCACAGUUAAUUUUAUCUUUGUAUGAGUCAUUACUUUUUAUUUUAUUUCAAUUUAAUUUUUGUUUUCCUGUCAGUCUAGUUCCAGUUAGUUAACAGAACGGGUUUCUUUGUUUCACUUCGGUUUUUAUUGUUUUAAGUUUAGUGUUUAUUAGUUUCUGAGUUUAAACAGCUCUGAUUCAAGUGAGGUCUCCAGUAUUUUUCUUUUUGAUUUUUAGGA
This is a long non-coding RNA of Lates calcarifer (barramundi perch), 1636 nucleotides long. RefSeq lists it as uncharacterized. NCBI's taxonomy places the organism in Eukaryota, Metazoa, Chordata, Actinopteri, Centropomidae. The record is from RefSeq and is a predicted model, not a curated record. The transcript has 3 exons.